Molecule: regulatory RNA element, 134 nt
Organism: Pseudomonas sp. M30-35
Lineage: Bacteria; Pseudomonadati; Pseudomonadota; Gammaproteobacteria; Pseudomonadales; Pseudomonadaceae
Rfam family: rmf RNA
Source: Rfam
UUGGUUAGAAAUCUACCUAGGUUAUCGCCGCAACGGUGAUAACACAGGAGGCUCGCGACGCCGGCAGCGGACUCCAACGGCAGACCAUUUCUGCCUGAUCUCACCAUGAGAUCUACAGGACAUAAACAGUCAAC